UUAUGUAUUUUUCAAGUUACAAUGUGCCCAUUUUAAAGCUUGCAGUGUAAAGACUAAAAGCAACUCUUUGAGAAAUCAAAUUUAUUUAACCCGCAGCAAAAAUGAGCCCCACCUCACUCAUCCUCCUGCUCUCCUGGUAAAAGUUGGCCGAGAGGAGAGGUCAGCCAUUCAUCUGGCAGACCAAUGAGAGAAGCAAAUUGCACAGGGAGUUAAGAGGGAAGAAGUAGUGGAGGUGCUCUACUCUCAAGACACACAUGCCAUAGCCACACUCCCAGAAUUCCAAUCCACCCUUUGUGCCCCACUUUCCUAAUAAACCUGAUUUUCUGUUCCAAAUGCGAGUGGAUCAGCAAAGUGAAAUCGGCAAGACCUCUGACAGGCACUUCAAGGAAAACCACCCCAGGAGUAUGUAUGAAAGUUCACAGGGAAUUGGGUAAAAAUUGAGGUUUGAGGUUUUUGGAUUCUGUUAUUCAACACACCACCACCAGAAAAUCCCCAUAAACCAGAAGGUGGAAGACAUAACCAGGAGGAGAGCCAUUUUAGACUUGAUUCUGUGACUAUGUCUACACUACUGUGCAGGUUGGGAGUCAUUCAGUUCCUUGUUCAAAGCCUCCUUAGAAAAUUACAGUCCAGAGAUGAGAAGCAGAAAUGAAGACCAAGCAGUGAUGUGACAGCUUCCACUUAUAUACCUUCAGCCCAGGUGUAUGGAAAGUUAUUGGCCCAAGAUGGAGUCCAGGGUCACAUGAAUAUGGAAAGUUACUGGUAAAAGAUGGAGUUUUAGAUCACAUGUUCUCAUUGCAUGUCCUUAGCUCAAUGCUAUCUGAGGCAUGCAAGAAGACUCAUUGAGAAGCUGAUUUCCCUUAAUGGCCCAUCAUCACAUGGAUGACCCAUCAACCAGUGAUGGCUAGUCCAAAUGUAAAUUUGUCUGAGGGAUGUCUGCCAGGAACACAACACAUGUUUGAGAUACUAAUACAUAGCAAAUAUUCAUAACUUCAGAGACAAAGAUACUACAUACAUACAAACAAGAUUAUUGUACUUAGAUCACAACUUUUCCACUGAUAUCUUACAUGACAUACUUUAUAUAGGGUUUAGUGCAGUUGUGCAACAAUGAUAUAAUGUUCAUAUAAAGUAUCACAGUUUCCAAGAGAGGUUGUGGAAUCCCCAUCACUGGAGGUUUUUAAGCACAGGUUAGACAGACACCUGUGAGGUGUGGUCUAGGUAUACUUGAUUCUGCCUCAGCUUAGCGGACCAGACUAGAUAUCCUCUCAAGGGCCCUUCCAGCCCUACAUUUCUAUGUUUCUAAAAGAUUCUAUUCCCAGCUAUAAUUCUAUGAUGUGUUAAUUAAGCCUCCAGCACUGUAUCUGAUUCUGCACCUUGGGAGCAUGGUUCUCAAAGACCUAUCAAUUUCCUUUUGUUUAUUAAAAAGGGAUCAUCCAUCACUCCUUGUUGUUUUUGUCCUUCAUUCCUUGUUUGCUGAACUAACAUCAUUAUCAUGCCCAUCCCAUUUUUCAUAAGGAAAAAUAGACUAGAUUUUGAAAACACUCCGUCCUUUUGGCUCAAUUUCCAAC
This is a long non-coding RNA of Trachemys scripta elegans, 1565 nucleotides long. RefSeq lists it as uncharacterized. The record is from RefSeq and is a predicted model, not a curated record. The transcript has 5 exons. Lineage: Eukaryota; Metazoa; Chordata; Testudines; Emydidae.